This 253-nucleotide ribosomal RNA is filed under the name uncultured bacterium. Its description in RNAcentral is "partial 16S ribosomal RNA". It matches the Rfam family "Bacterial small subunit ribosomal RNA", at positions 524 to 776 of the family's 1533-position model. The record is from RNAcentral.
CACGUAGGGCGCAAGCGUUGUCCGGAAUUACUGGGCGUAAAGGGCUCGUAGGCGGCCAACUAAGUCGGACGUGAAAUCCCUCGGCUUAACCGGGGAACUGCGUCCGAUACUGGAUGGCUUGAGGUUGGGAGAGGGAUGCGGAAUUCCAGGUGUAGCGGUGAAAUGCGUAGAUAUCUGGAGGAACACCGGUGGCGAAGGCGGGUCUCUGGGCCGAUACUGACGCUGAGGAGCGAAAGCGUGGGGAGCGAACAGG